This 25974-nucleotide long non-coding RNA is filed under the name Ananas comosus (pineapple). Its description in RNAcentral is "long non-coding RNA (ACOM_LNC004963)". The record is from RNAcentral. Lineage: Eukaryota; Viridiplantae; Streptophyta; Magnoliopsida; Poales; Bromeliaceae.
GUAACUUUUCAAUUCUCAGCCUUGCCUCCGAUAGUCUGCCCCGACCCCCUUACCCCGCCACCCUCGCCGGCCGCUAGCCAGUCGCCAUCGAAAGCCCACGUGGGACCACGUGCCGCCCAUCAUAACCCUAUACUUGCUUAAUUUUACAAAUCUUUAUUUUUUAUAUGUUAAGAAUUAUGAGUAUUUAUGCUGAUAGUAUAAAUCUAAAAAAAAAGAAGUUUGAUUUAAUAGUCGAAUUUUUUAUCCCGAAUUUUAAUUGGUGAAUGUAUAAUUUUCGUAUAAAUCGCAUUUCCAAAUAAUUAACGUAUCAGUCUUUUAAAUUAUAUUUUUCAACGAAUUCAAAAAUUAGGACACGAAUUUUAUCCGUACUAUACUCGUACUGAAUUUUUGCCGAAUCCGAAUUAACUAACCAUGGAUUGAAUUGAUGAAAAUCAAAUGUUAGUGGAAUUUUAAAGUAGAAUAAAUUUAAUGUGAAGUAGAGGUUAAUUUAAUUAACCUAAAGACAAUUUUCCAUCUAGUUGCUUGUUUUAUAAAGUGCCUGCUGGAACUUAGCUAUGUUGUAAAUAAUUUUUCGAUAUUAUUAGCAUUUGUUGAAACAUAAAUCACAUCAUUCUAAAUUCUUAACAUUUAUAUAUAUAAUUUCAAAAGGAAUAUUUUGAACUUUGAUAAUAUUUUAAAAUUUUUAUGAGAGUGAAAAGUGGAGAAAACUUACUUUGCUCCCACAUAGGGUGAAGUCUAGCGUAGGGAAAGUCUCUGGAAAAUUAAUAUAAAACUAUCAUAAUUUUUUCUGAAACUGACAAUAAAACAAGGGUCAAUUGCAUAUAGGUCCUCACAAACAUAGUAAAUUGUAGAUAUAUUUCUAUAAAGUUCAACUUAAUUUCAUAAGUUAUUUAUGUAAAAAUUCUAAUGUUUUCAGAUAUAUUCCUGCCGUUAGAAUCCGUUAUAAAAGUUUAGUUAAUCAUAGGUUAAAUACUUUACUCGGGUUAAUUUUUGACAUUUUUACUCCUCUUAUAUUAUACUGUUAUAAUUUUUGAAAGGACAUAUUUAUGAUGGCAAAAUUGAAACUAUAAACAGUUUUCUAACGGUUCUCUAAACGGUAACAAACCAUAGAGACAUAUCUGAAAAUAUUAGGACUUUUGUAAGGAUAAUUUAUAAAAAUUAAAAUUUAUAAAAAUAUAUUUAUAAUUCACUAUAUUGGCGGGCACCUAUAUGCAAUUAACCUGUAAAAGAAACAAUGAAAAUGACCACUAUGUAUUAUUUUUAGGCAAUUACCUAUUUAUCCUUCCAAAGUUUCUGACAUUUAUAUUUAUCCUUAAAAAAUUAUCGUGCUAAAAUUUAUUCUUUUAAAAUUUUAAAUUCUUUCAAUUGUACCUUUUUAUAAGAGUGAGAUUAUAUUAAUGUACUAUUUAAACUCUCGUUAUUUUUGUAAAAUGACUAUUUUGCCCAUAAAAGAAUGUUUUUCUGCUAUCACCUUUUUUUUUUGGGGAAGGGAUUAAUUGGAGGCGAUUUUUAAUUUAGAAUUGGGGUAGGAACAUGAUAGAAUGGGAACAAUUUUUGUGGGGAUAGGUUAAGAUCAUAGAUUAAUAAGUAGGGGCAAAAAAGAUUUUUUUAACCUCCUAUUUAAAUUUAGAUCUGAUGAUAAAUAAAAUUUAACUGUGGUCUAAUUAAUUCGAGAUAAGCUAAUAAAUGUUAACAGAAUGAUUAUAUUAUAAGAAUAAUGAAGAAAGUUUAGAGGGCUAUGUUUCUUUUUUCUUCUUAAUCUUUUACACAAAUUCUUAAAAGAGAAGUUCUCAAGCAAAAAAUCUUAAAAGAGUGUUUUUUUUUUAGAGAGAUAGAUAGCACGCUACCCGCUUCGUUUAUUUCAUUUAGAAAUAAACUUAGCUGGAAAUGUAAAUCAACUAGGAUUCGAACUUGGGUUUCGGAUACCAACCACCAAGCCCUUUGCCACUUGCUCUAGGGACGGUUGGUAUCUUAAAAGAGUGUUGUUUGCAUAUUUUUCAUAGUCUUAUUAUAACUUAGAAGUGGAUUGCUUUUGAGUGAAAACAAAUAUAAUCUAAAAGAUAAUUGUUGGUAUUGUUCAUACUCUCUCUCUCUCUCUCUCUCUCUCUCUCUCAAGUGAAAAUUAAUGAUGUUAAUUCCCAUAGCACAAAACACUGGAAUAUCGCUCUUUAGUAACUUAAGCGUUCAGAGUUAUCUCGAUCGUAACCUAUAUUUUCGAAGACCUGAACCGGUUAUUUUACAUUGUUUUCAAUGGGAAAAUUAUUAAGCAUAAAAUAUUAAAACAUCAAAACCUUGGAGAAUUUUACUAUGUUUGUGGUAUGUUCUUGAUCAAAAAGCAAGAUGUUAGGGAUUUCUGGAUCAGCAAUUCUAGAAAAAGCACUUGUGCUUCAGCAGGGUUUAACAGAGCAGCAGCAUUUUUUAUAACUGUUUCUUUCCAUAGGCAUCAACACAACACCAAACACUUCUCAAUCUUAUAAGAUAAAAUUCUCUAUUAAUUAAGUUUCUAAGACAAAAAAAAACAGUUUAUCUUUAAAAGCUUUAGUAUUUAGUAUGGACUACUAUUUUAACACUUUUUUUGACACGUGCUAUACAUUGCUAGCAUGUACUACAGACACAAUACAAUUACACGACCACUUAGCGGCUAGUUAUACUUAGCCUACUAAAAAUAAAAAAUUGUGAAGUAGAUUAUCAUACUAUAGAGCUUAAGCACUUAAUAAGGACUUGGUGGUUGGUACUCGAGGUCCCAAGUCCGAAUCCUAGUUGAUUCACAUUUGCAGCUAAGUUUAUUUCUAAAUGAAAUAAACGAAACGGAUAAAAAAGAGUGACUCACAUUUUAAUACUAUGCAGCCUAAGUAUUUAGUAAGUAUUUAAUAAAGACUACUAUUCUUAAUACUAUUUCUUGAGGUAAAUUGACCCAUAUUAGUCAAUUCUUAGAAAAAUAUAGUUAAUCAUAGCUAAAAUACUAAACCCUUAUUAGUCAUUGAGUUUAAAAUAUAGUUAAUCAUAAGUAAAAUACUUAAUCCUUAUUAGUGAAUAAGGUAAAUUGACUUUUUUACUCCUCUUAUAUUAUUUGUGAUGAUAGAAAAGAAAAUUAUUAGUGAAUAAGGUAAAUUGACUUUUUUACUCCUCUUAUAUUAUAUGUGAUGAUAAAAAAGAAAAAGAUGAUCGUUGAAAAUUUUCGAAAGGACAUUUCUGUAUGAUUCUUACAGUUGGUGCUGUUGAAGGAACAAUAUUUGUAAUGACAAAAAUAUUAUUUUACUUAUUUUUUGUUAACAAUGCUCUAACAGUAACAAAUUAACCAAAGAGAUAAAUAUGAAUAUCACUGAACUUUUGUAAGGAUAAAUAUAAAAAAGUUAAACUUUAUAAGGAUAUAUUUGCUACUCGAUAUAUUUACAAGGUGCUAUAUGAAAUUAACCACAUUUUUUUAUUAUUUUUCUGAAAGAAAACUGUAGAAUGCCCUUUUACAUUCAAUGAUCGACCACAGAGACUUUUAUCUCCCUACGUAUUUUAUCUCCCUACGUAAUGUCUUUUUAGAUAUAAAAUAUUAAAAGAGAAAUUCUUGAUAAUCUUUUUUCUUUUCUUUUCUUUUCUUUUUUUCUUUUAAGGGAAACUUUCCUGUAAGGUUUAAUUGAAGAUGUUGAGCUUGUUCGAAUUCGUUACUAUUCUGUUCAACAUCUAUAUUCUUUUAAAUUUGUACCUCAAAUGAGAUAGAAACACGUUUCUACAACUUUAGUCAGAAGAUAAAUUAACUAAAAUAUAUAAUAUUAUAUAGAUCGACAAAAUUGUUUACAUCAUGCUUGACAUAAAUUGUCACCAUGGAUUGCAUGUAUGCAUGCGUAUGAUUGAAACCCUUCAUUUUGUUGGGAUUCUUACUCAUGAUUUGAUUAUUGAUGUCGGUAUGCUUGAUACCAACCGUUUUUGUCAAUUCCUAUCAAUUCGUUUUAUUUUGUUUUUAAAAGCAGCGUUUGGCUCGGAAACAACUGGACGAAUAAGCUCUUAUUUUUUUUCUUAAUAUAUUCUCAAACAUAAAUUUUCAUGUCCGCAAACAAUAGUUCUCAGAUUCAUAAAAUAAGCUGCUGUAAUUCAGUAUAAGUCUGGGACUACGGUUCUACCUUUUUCUUUACUGAAACAAACUUGUUUCCAAAUAGUAACAAGAUUAAUUAAAAUCUAAAUUUAAUUUUAAUUAUGAUAUUAAAUUAUUAAUUAAUCUAAUUAAUAUAUUAAAUUAUUAUUCAUUGCUUAAAUAAUAAAGUAAUUAAUUAAUUUAUUACUUAUAAUUAAUUAGCUAAUUAAUUAUUAAUAAUUUAAUGUGUUUAUCCAUAAACUAAUAUUUAUAUUGAUCAACCAUUAAUAUUUUUAUUAAUCUAAUCAAUUUUUCACUAGUUAUCUAACUAAAAUAAUUUACUAACUAAUUAAAAAGCUAAAUUAUUUUUUAUAUUUAAUUAAUUAAUUAAUUAAUAAUAUCUUCAUUGUCUCAUAUAAUAUUCAUAGCUAACAAAUAUAUUAAUUUAUUAAAUUAUUUUUAAUUAAUAUUUUGAUGUUAAAAUUAAAUAAAAUAUUUUAAAUUUAAGAUUAUAACUUUUAGUACUCUUGUUCCAAUCUAAUCAUUCAAACACUAUUUAUCUUAUUUCUAAAAAUAACCUAAUUUUUCUCUAAACAUAAAACUGGUCUAGUUCCUAUUUACACCUUAACUUGUACAUGUUUUUGGAAUAAGCAGUUAUACUUAUACCUGAACUAAAUGAAGCUAAAAAGUUUAAGUAAUUAACCUUCUAGUACCUUUUUUAGGUGGUGGCUUUAGUCACUUGGAUUUGUUUAAUCAAACAUGUAGUGCAGCUGAUGUAUAUAUGCAAUUAACAAAUUCAGAUACUAAUUUAUCACUCUCUGUGGAAGCUCUCAUUUUACAAAGGAAACAUUUGCAAUAAGAAGAAAGUAAGGUAAACAAACAAAAAAAAAAUCAACUUCUACUUAACACUCUAAACAAAUGGAGAAAAACAAAUGGAGAGAUUAAAAGAGAGCAAAAGUCAUACAGAUAGAAACAGCCGAGUUGAGCUCAGGUGCAAGGAGCACUAACAAAUUCUUGCGAAGUUCUCAUUUUUUUAGUAUUUACGUCUGUGUCAUGGCUAGCCAAAAAUGAUAAUUCAAUUAAUUACACAUCCAAUUUAGGAUUUGUUGUUCUAACUUAUAUUUCUGUUUUUAGCGGCAGUAGAUUUUAAUAAAAUAUUUAGCUAAUAAAAAGAAAAUCUAAAUGUUUCACUGCAACAGAAAGGUAAAAAAAGUAAUUUGAGUUUUGAAAAGAAAAAUUCUGAUUCACUGCUUCUGAUUUUGCUCUAAAAAAAAUAAUAUAUACCUUUCAUAAGAGUAUUACUCAAACAACACUUCAACAAAUAGCAAUGCGCUUCAUGACAGAGCUAAACAAACUCAGAGAGUACGAUCGAUACUGUCGAUGCACGGCGGUAGACUAUGCUUUCACAGUGUAAUUUGUUAGUGCGUCUUUCAUCUGCGCCGAGCUCCGGAUUGAUCAGAUAUAUAUGGACUUAGUUGUAUCAAGGAGUUGCAACCUCUGAAGUGCUCCUGAGAAGCUCCUCCAGAUACUCUGCUCCCAAAUCCUCCAACUCCACCACCCCACUCACCUCCCUCCCUCUCCUCCCCUUCCUCCCCGCCACCGCCACUGCCGCCGCCGCCGCCGCCGUUGAAUUCCUCCUCCGCCGCAUCGAGUGCCGCCGCUUCAGCGCCAUGACCGGCGACACCCCCUCCUCCUCGGCGCCCGCCACCAGCCGGCGGUACUCCGCGCCGCGCAGCGACUCCCGGACCGCCUCCGCGGGGAAAUUCAGCACCGCGGCGGGCCCCCGCAUCGCGAACGCCGCCUGGUCGUAGGCCAUCGCCGCCUCCUCCGCGCUGUCGAAGGUCCCCAGCCACACCCGCACCCCGUGCCGCGUCGAGUCCCGGAUCUCCGCCGCGAACUUCCCCCACGGCCGCCGCCGCACGCCCCGGUAGCUCCGCGACCCCACUCCCUCCUCCUUGGGCCGGAUCCGAUGCGCCGAAUUGUCGGCCGAGGCCGCGGUGAGCACGUCGAGGAGGAGCAUCUCCUCGGAGUCGUUCUCGUCGAAGGGGAGCACCUCGACGGAGCCGGUGGAGGAUUCCGGCGAGAAUUGGUACAUUUUGGGGUGCAUAAUUUGGUACUCAAUGGAAUGCAUGGGAAAUGAGAUGAUCUCUCACUUUUACUCUCCUUCAGUGUGAGCGCUCCAAUAUAUGUAUAAUAUAUAUAUAUAGGCUUUUGAAGUUGGUUUGGUUGGCGCCUCUGUUUCCAGGAUGUAAAUAUGCGCGAAGACCCCUGAACUAUACGAUAUUUCUAAACAACCCUCUCUGCUUUAACCCCUUGUGGAAAAAAUUUUAAUAGAAUAUAUUUGUACUAUAGACCAUUUUGAAACCGACUGUAACUUUAAAAUUUAAAUACAUCACUUAUUUUUACAUAUUUAAUUAACAUACUUCAUAUAAUUUUCGUAACUAUAAAUUGAUUAAAGUAAGUCAAAGCACUAUUGUUAAUCGAUUCAAAUUAAAUUAAAAGAUUGGAUAAAUUGAGUACCAUUUUAAAAUGGACUGUAAUUUAGAUAAGUUCUAUAUAUUUUUAUGUAACUUUUUUUUUACUUAACACCUCCUUAAGUUGCAAAUUUUUUAAUUGAAUUAGCGUAGUCCGAUAAAUUAAUAAUUUUAUUAAAUCUAUCAAUAAUCUUAUUAAAAUUUAGUAUUUUUAAGUCUUUUUAAUAAAUAAAAUUAAACUUAUUGGCAUCUAAUAUCCAAUAAAACCACUAAACAUAAUAGAUAAAUAAAAGAUUUGAAUAAUUUUGGGGCAUUUAACAGGACCGCUAAAUUUAACAAAAUAUUUAACUAAAAUAACCAUAAUUCAAUGACGAAAAAGUGCAAGUUAAACGGUUCUGAUCACAGAUAAAAAAAAUUAAUAGAUCCAAGUUGAUGGAGAUCUCACUUGAUCCGCACCGAAUGAAACAUUACAUAGAAGACAAGAAAAAAAAAAGUAAAAAAAAAAAUCUCAUCCCAAAUUCGUCCUAAUAUGCUAAGAAAUAGGGCGGAACAGAGAGAUAAGCACCGGUAAAAUAUAAGAUAAAAUCCAACUCUUCCCAAGAUCUGCCUAGUUUACAUCUCUAACUGUAGAGUUUAAAAGUUGAGGGUCCGAUUUCAAAAUAUCUUAAUAGUUGGGGUUCUCUAUACAAUUUUUACCAUUAUAAGGAGAAGCGCUCAUAUUUUUUGGGUAGGUAAAAUGAGAGAUUUAUUGGGCGAGGUGGGGCCCAUGGCCCACGUGGCCGUGGGCCCCACCAGGAUUCUGUACAUUAGUAGCACGUGGGUCAAUCGUGCACGGCGGCCAAGUCAAAUAAGCUUCUGACCAAAGCAACGUGAGUGGCGAUGACGCAAGUGCAGAUUCCCUGCAAACAGCGAAGUAGAAAUUUUAGUCCGACGCACACUCCCAAUAGCUCGAUGCCACGUGCUUACGUGUAUGUAGGAAGACCCAUGAAUGUCAACAAAAAAAAAUUAAGCAUACAGAAAUAAAACCCUUUUCUUUUUUUUUUCUUUUUAUUGUUUCUUGUGCGCCACGAACAAUGUCGUGUGUACUACACUAAGGUGCCGUUUGGUUAGAUAUAAUUAUAAAUACAGUAUAAUUGAAGAUGCAUAUAAUUGAAAAUGCAGCAGUUAUAACUAAUGCAUCAUGUUUGGUUGGAUGUAGUAGAAAGUAUUGCAACUAUAAAUAAUUUGUUUGGUUGCAUGCAGUUGAGAAAUAAUUUUAAAAUUUUUAUCAUUUUAUAUCUAUGAUAGUGAAAUUACCUCCCAUAUAAAAAAAAAUUAUUUUUGUUUAAAAAAUAUUUAAAGAGGUAAGGUUACUUUUUGUUUAAAGUUACUCUCCAACUGCUGCAGUUGAAACUGCGGCCAAUUUGGGCGUAGUUCCAAAUACUGCAGUUGGACCUCCUCCUGCAGUUCUCACUGUAGCAGUUGAAGUUAAAUAUAUCAAACCAAACACCAAAUUCGCAUUUGCAUGCAGUUACAACUGUCGUGCAGUUGCAACUACAUGCAACCAAAUAGCCCUUAAUAACCACCACUAGAAUGUUUUUCUAAAUUUUUUUAAAUAUUAAUUUAAUAUAAUUUAAUAUAUAUAUAUAGUCCGACUACUAUGCUAUCGGUAGCACAGAGCGCUCCGUGCUACCAAGUUGUUUUCGAUGAUGCGGCUUCCAAAUCGACGAUCGGCUCCAUUAGACUUGAUCUAUACUAUUGAAAGUAUUUGGAAACUAAAUUUCAGAUUUUUCGACAUCAUUUGACUAGUGAUCAAAAGAUCUCAAAAUUGACAAUUUUAAUGGCCGAUGUGGUGUGUUUGGGAGUUUAACGGUGUAAAACAAUCCAAAUGCAAUAAAAUUUUAUAGAAAAUUCUUUUCACUAUUUAGAGUAAGAUCAAUAUAUCUGAUCUUGAAUUUAAAUCUUUUAUCAUCAUUUUUCAUGAGAUUUUUAUUUUCAGCCGUUCAAUUUUAGACUACUUGUUUGAUAGGUAAAUGAUAUCGAAAAAUUAUGAAAUUUAGUUUCUAAAUACUUUCAAUAGUGUAGAUCAAGUCUAACGGAGCCGAUCGUCGUUUUGGAAGCCGCAUCAUUGAAGAACAAGCUUGAUAAGGCACGGGAGCGCUUCGUGACAUACCGAUAGUAUAGUAGCCUAGUUUCUAUAUAUAUAUAUAUAUAUAUAUAUAUAUAUAGUUCCGCUGGAAUACUAUUGAUAGACCAAAUACUUGAUACUACCAAGUUUUCCAGUCGUUAGAUUACUUUUUGACUAUUUUCAAACGUUAGAUUAUAUUAUUCAACCAACACCUUACUCAACCCUAGAGGGCCCACAUCAUCUAAACCAUAUAUUUCUUUGCAUCCAAUGACGAAACCUAAUAGAAAUAAUGACGUUGAUGCUAUUGAUAACAUUCGGCAGCCUAGUUCUAUAUAUAUAUAGUAUAUAUAUAUAUAUAUAUAGAACUAGGCUGGAAUGUUAUCAAUAGCACCAAACUAUUGGUGCUAUUGACUUUUUAGCCCUUGGAUUGAGAAAUGGGUGGUUAGAAUGAUCUGGGCCCUCUAGAGUUGAGUGAGUGGUUGGUUGAAUAGUAUAAUCUAACGGGUAAAAAUAAUCAAAGGGUUAAAUCUAACGGUGAAAAACUCGAUAGCACCAAAUUCUUGGUGCUAUCGAUAGUACCCGAGCCGGACUCUGUAUAUNCUCUCUCUCUCUCUAUAUAUAUAUAUAUAUAUAUAUAUAUAAUUGAGCUAGAAUACUUUUAGAAGCACCAACCCCUUGGUGCUUCUAAGUUUCUAGCCCUUGGAUCUACUCCUUAAUUAUUAAUACCUCUUGGAUCAAACACUAUUACACCUAUCACCACCUACUACCAUCGUCUCAACCCCACAUUUUUCUAUCCAAUGGUUAAAAACUCAAAAGCACCACCCCCUUGGUGCUUUUGAGAGUAUUCCAGCUCAAUUCUAUAUAUAUAUGAGUGCGUCUGGUAUGCUUCUGGAAGCACGGAGCGCUCCAUGCUUUUAAGUUGUUUUCGAUGUUUAGAUUUUCGAAUCGACGAUCGGCUCCGUUAGAGUUGAUCUAGAGUAUUUGAAGUAUCUAGAAAAUAAAUUUUGCCAUUUUUCGAUAUCAUUUGCCCAGUGAUCGAAGUGGCUCAAAAUCAACGGCUGAAAAUAAAAAUCUUACAAAAUAUGAUGAUAUGACAUUAAAAUUUUAGAUCAAAGUUAUUGAUCUUGUUUUAUAUGGUAUAAAAAAUUUUCUAUCAAAAUUUCAUAUGAUUUGAAUAUUUCUACACCGUUAAACUUGCAAACGGCUCACCACAGCCAUUAAAAUUAUUGAUUUUGAGCCCCUUCGAUCACUAGGCAAAUGAUAUCGAAGAAUCACAAAAUUUAUUUUCUAACUACUUCAAAUACUCUAGAUCAACUCUAACGGAGCCGAUCGCCGAUUCGAAAGUCCGAACAAUCAAAACAACUUGGAAGCACGGAGCUCCGUGCUUCCAGAAGCUUACCAGCCCACUCAUAUAAUAGAGUAUAAUUGUUAUAUACUCUAUUAUAUGAGUCUCUCACCUUGUUGAGAAUCGCAAGCACAGAUGUUGUAUAAAAACUGACAAAAUUUGAUAUCGAAUGGGGAAACGGUUGAAAAUGUAUAUUCUGUAAGCCGUAACCCGAUCGACUUCGGUGAAGUCGAGAUUAUGCAUACAGCCGGAUCUGGCAACCUCCGGCCCUUUUUGACCCCAGCAAACCAAGCACGCCCCAGGUGUUUGGCUGGAGAUAAGAAGGUCAAAAAUCGUUUUUGACCUUAAAAGAAGUUUUCCAAUUGUAUUUGAUUUGUUGAAAAAAAAAAAUUCAGAGAAAAAUACUUUAUAUAUUUAAAAGCAAAAAGUGAAAAGAAAAUUCAAAUAUGUUUGAACAUAUGUUUUCUAAUUACAUGUAAAAUCAAAUAACAGUGCAUAUUAUGUUUUUCAUUAAAAAAAAACACUUUUUUAUAAAGUUUUAAAAGUUGUACAUGCAAGCAAAUAACGGCUAACUUCCUGUUUGGUCUUUUUGCUCUUGCUUUCAUAAUACCAUACCACAUCCAAUAGAUUGUUUGAAGGAAUAAAAAAAGAAAAAAAGAAAAAAAAAGCAGAAGAAAUGCUACUCAAAUAGCAUCAUAGAAUUGAAAGAUAACACCUUUGAAUUGGUUCUGAUGUCAUAUUAACCGGGACUAAUUCGAUAAAAACCCAAAUUUGCUCGCCGAAAACGACGAGCAUAGAAUGACAGGAGAAAGUGAAUAACAUAUUUAUACUGAAGUUUAAACAUCCCCUCACAUAUAAGAUGGAGAGGCGAGAUUUGAACUCAGUAUUAUCUCUUGAUUUGGCAUUAUAUAAAAUAAUAUUAUAAAAUAAUUGCUUAUUUUAAAAAACUUAAAUUAUUAAAGAAAAUUAUUUUUAAUAUUUAUAUUCAGUAUUUCUAAACUAAUGAAUUGGAAACCGGAAGAUUCCUGGAGCGCCACGUGGCUGGCAGGCCCGAGGGGGCGGUGGGCGCGUGCGCGUGCGCGGCACGAGCGGGGGCUGGCGCGCGGGCAUGCAGGCACGGGGCGAGCCGGUGCGGGCAGGGCACGAGCCGGCGUGGGCGCGAGCCGAAAAAAAAAGAAAUGCUACAAUGCAAAUAACGGGGCUUACUUCCCCUUUUUGCAUGCGGUCCACGAGAUGAGCAUCAUCCGGUGGACCGGCUGAGGGAGAGAGAGCAAUGGACCUCUCUCUCCCUCUUUGAGAUUUUAUAUAUAUAUAUAUAAAAUUUUAAUAUUAUAUUUAUAAAUAUAUAAUAAUUUAUUUUUAGAAUAUAUAUAUAUAUUAAAUAUAUUUUUAAAAAAACUUAAUUGUAGUGUUUUUUAUAAAAAUAGAUUAUUUAUAUCUAAAUAAUUAUAAAAUUAAAAUUUAUAUUUAAUACAUACAAUCUAAAAUAUUUAAAAUUUAGGCAUAAAUAAUUAUAUAUUUUAAAGUUUUAUUAUAUUAUAAUUAUAAUUAAAAUAUAAACUUAUAAAUUUACAAUCUGAAUCUGAGCGGGUAUUAAGAUCAGUAUUAUUGUUUGUAAUCAAAACUUGCAUAUCUGAUACAAUUGAUCGCAUGUGAAAAUGUAUCUAAAACUUUCUUAUUUAAUUAAUUAAAAUAUAUUAUUAUUUAUUUUAUAAAAAAUAUAUUUAAUUAUUUAUUAAUUAUUUAUAAAGAAGAUAAAUGAACCCGUUGCGUAGCACGGGUUCCUUAACUAGUGUAUAUUAUAUUCCACCUGAUUUUGAUGAGAUGGCAUUUCUAUGUUUCGUGAUGUGAUUCAUACGUAUGUUUCAUUAAUUAGUUGAUUGUUGAUAACAUUUCUAGUUAUAUGAUGGUCACAAUUAUAUAUGUAAUGCAAUUAAAGGGGAACCGCAUUACCUCAAGAAACAAAUUAAUGUCUACUUAAUAUAACAAUACCGUUUCCAAAGAUUAGUUAUCAUGAAAAUAAUACAAUGAAAAUUUUAGCAAUAAGUUAACUGAAUAUCGAAGUUGAAUUCAAGUGCCUCAAUCGCAAAGUUUUUUUUCCUUUAUAUUUUUUGUGGCAAAGAAAUCAAGUACACUUGAACAAUUUUGCUUAUCUGGUUAUGCCACGCUAUAAUGAUAAGUUGAAUCAAUGUGUUGUUUAAGUAGAGUUUCUGAAAGAGGCAUUUGCAGUAUUUUUUAUUACGACUAAAUUUUCUAGGCGCCGCAGAAACACAAGUUUCAUUUUAAAGCUUUUGUUUUUCGGUCUAAAAGCAGCUUUUCAUUAUAGUAUAAGCUUUAGACUUUUCAUUUAUAAAGAGAUUAAUUUGUUAAUACAUGACUGUAAUCAUCACUUUAGUGCACAUAUAAUUAGCAAGUUAAUCCACAUACAAAUAGACUUGAUAGUUCCAAAAGAAUGAAAGUGGAAAUUGUGGAGCCACAAAAUAUGGUUCGUGUUGUUGACCUUCUUUAGUGUCCCGUUAACAUCAUAGAGAAUAUAUAUAUUCAAGGUUUUCGUUUGGAAAUUCCUGGUGUGUUUGAGUGUGACACCAAAAAAGCUCAACUUCAAAUGCAUGAGAACAAUGUGAAAUGAAUACAUUUUCUAAUUUAAGUCUAUGGUGCCAAUCUAAUAGUGGAAUGUUAAUAUGGUAAUAAUUCACAUUUAUGAUCGAAACUCUAUAAUUGUGAAUCCCUACAAGAGAGAAGUACUCAAAAUAUCGUUCCCAUGGAAAGUAAUUCUCAACUCACAAAAAUAUGUGUAUUAUGAAAUUUAUCUAAACUAUGUCCCACAAAUUGUUAGAGAACUUGCAAAUCAUGCGCGCGGUAUGUACAAAUUUUAUGAUAGAAGAGUCAUAAAAAUGGCUCAGAUAAAGUUCUUUUGCGAAAGUUUAUGAAAAAUUUUAACAUUGAUAAGUGGAAGGUCACUAUAAUUGGCCAAAGUGUUAAAAUUUGAGUCACCUAUGAUACAAAUUUUCAUCAAGAGGACUAGGAAAUUAAAUAAAUGGUUGAUAUAUAACAAAUAUUGACAAAUUUAGCUGUAAUAAUUAAGCUUGACCAUCCUUAAGGGCGUGUUUGGUUCGCGCGCACUAUGAAAGAUUACUAGCAAUAAAAAGAUAUCCGAGAAUAUUAUUCAUAUUCAUUCUAUUACUAAGAAUGUAGCAUUCCUGUGUUUGGUUUGCACGGUCAUAUUAUUUAGUCAUGUUAUUUAAGUUUACAAAAAAUAUACAAUUUAUUUAUUUAUUUAUUUAUUUAAUUUUAGAUAAUGCUACAAAAAAUUUCAACAUUUUUUAGAAAAAAGGGGAAGAGAACAUAGGUUAGAGAGAGAGAGCAUAAUUAAAGAAAUAGAAAGAAAAAUGCAGUCGAUAUUAGAGGGAGCGAGAGAGUUGAGAUUUUAGAAACAGAGGAGAAGAGAGAGCUUAGUUUAAAGAGAGAAAAAAAGUUGAAGUUUAGAGAGAAAAAAAUAAGUAUAGAGAGAGAUAUGAGGUUAGAGUGUAAAAAAAAAUAUAGCUGACGAGUAUGGAGAAAAAAAGAGAUUAGACAUAUUAUGAUUAUCCUAAUCCAUUAAUAGGAGGCUACACACCCUCCAUCAAGGGAAUAAGAUUAGUGCUUUGGGAUGAAUCUCAUUCCUGAGUAAAUCUAAUAUUACCAACUAGAUUACUUAGUGCGUUUAGCCAAACACCGUCAUAUUUUUUAAUUCUUAUUGGAUUACUAGGAAUCUUAAAAAAUAGCGCGAACCAAACGCACCCUAAGUGUGUUGCGGAAAAACCAUAUGAUUAUUUCAUUGCAGUUAACAAUUAUAACCAUGAAUUAAGCAACACAUGAUAAUCUUGGUAUCAUAUUAUAUUUUUUAUUGAAAAUAGUAGAUAUAUAAAAGCCUUUUUUUAAUUCCUUUUGUGACGCCCUAUAUCCCACGGUGGUCAUCCAUCUUAGAACAACUCUUAGUUCUAGUUAACAGGCUUAACCAUCUUAAACUCUUAGAUCUAACCUUCAGUUAACAUGCUAUAACUGGGUUAAGAGAUCCAAGUUCUAGGAGUGUCACUUUUCUCUUCCCUUUAAGUCCUGACAUCUUUUUCAGAUUCAAUCACACUCACAAGCACACCAAACGAUACGAGAAUCAUCCAGAAAGCCACACUCUGCCUGUUGUAUGACGAUGAGAUUAUUUGGUUCGGGUAUAAGAAAGAGCUGUCUAUUCUAGAGAUAAGUAUAAGUUUAGGUAUUAGUAAGAACUAGAUUAAUUUCGUGUUUGAAUGAAAAUUGGUUAUUCUCAGGAGUAAAAAAAAUAGCGUUUUGAUAGAUAAAAUAAAAUAAGAAGGAUAGUGGGUAGUUACAAAUAAAAAAUAAUAAUAUCACCCCUCUCAUUAUAUUUGAAUUUAAAUUUUUAAACUUUAUAUUUAUAUUUUUAAAUUUAAAAUUUUAACUUUUAAAUUUUAAAUUUUGAAACUAACAUUUCAAAUUUAAAUCUCAAAUUUUAAAUUCAAAUUUUUAAAUUUUAAAUUUCAAACUUUAAAUUUAAGAUCAAAUUUAAAUUUGAAAAAUAUAAAAUAUCAAAUUUUCAAUUUUAAAAAUUUAAAAUAUCACAAUUGAAAUUUAGAAUUUAAAAUUAUAAACUUUAAUUUUGAGAUUACAAAUUAUAAAUUUUUAAAAUUUUAAUUUUUAAAUUUUAGAAUUUUAAAGUAAGAAUAUGGGUGGGAACAAUUAAUAAAAAUAAUUUAUUAUAAUAAAUUUAUAAAUUAUUUUAAAAUUCUACUUAAACUUAAAUUUAAUAAAAAUAAUUUAUUAUAAUAUUUAAAUAUAAAUAAUAUAUAUUAGUAUAGUAUAAUAUUUUAUAAUAAAAAUAAAUAUAUUAUAAUAUAUAAUAUAUUAUAUUUAUAUAAUUUAGUUUUGAUUCAAUUUAUAAUUUUAAUAUAGUUUGAAAUUAUAUAUUGGAAUAACACUAUUCCACCAAAAUGAUGGAAUAGUAAAUCCCAAGCUAUUUCCGGAUAGCCGGGAAUAGUAAGAUUUGACCGGAAUAAAAUUGUGAUGUACUAAACCUUAGCAAAUUAGCAAGGUUACAAUAUAAGUUUAUGCUUGAUUGAGUUGGAGACGUUUUUUACAAAAUAAAUGUAAAAACGGACUUUAAAACUCAAGAUUUAUAUUGUAGAGGACUAAAGUUAAAUACCUAGUUAUAUAGGGGCAUGUGGGCAAUUUUGUUUAAUUAGGCGGUGGAGUCCACGUUGUUUAAUUAGGCGGUGGAGUCCUUAUCCUCUCAUUUUGUUGUUUUUUUUAUUGCCACGGGUGAGCUAAUUAAUUAGCAGGGACAACUUGGCUUCAUUCUUACGAGUGAGGCGAGCGAGUGAGCGAGUCGAGUUCGUGCGUCGUGUUAGCGCCGUUGGAGGCCGGGCGAGCACGGAAUUUUCUUCUCCUAUCGACUUCUCGCUGUCGUGGAUUAGUUUUUAAGGUGGGUUAAUGUUAUGCUUACCGAAUUACACAGAAUUCCUCCUAAGUCUAGUCGCUGUCGACAUGUAUUCGCCGUUUUUAUAUACCAUGUUUUAGUUACUCGAUUCAUUAAUUUACUGUGUUUCUAAAUCUGAAUUGGAGCUUAGAAUAUUAGUUAAAUUAUACAUGUUGGACUUGGAAUUGACUUAGGAGAAAACUAGCGAUUCUGCACCGUCAUAUGUCAAAACUACCAGAUUUAGCUCUAAGAGCCGUAGUUUGUUUGUAUCACCGCAGGUUGUGGACGGUGGAUACUUAUACUAGUGUAGAAUACAUUUAUACUCGUGCUGGGAUGCCGAGCUGGAGUAAUCUUCAACUGUAGGUUCUGCACUGUUAUUUCUAAAGACUAUCAGAAAACUCCUUAAACUGUUGUGCUUUGUAUCCACGCUGUUAGUGUGCAUUUGAUACUGAGAUAACUUCUGAAGCUGUUGCGUUUUGUAUCCACGCUCUUAGUGUGCAUUUGAUACUCGGAUAGCUCCUGAAGCUGUUGCGGUUCGUAUCCACGCUGUUAGUGCGCAUUUGAUACGCGGAUAGCUUAGGAGGUGUAGUUUGUUUAUAUCGCCGUAGUCUGUUGGCGGUGGACACCCAGGAUAAUGUAGAAUGUAUUUACGCUCGUGCUGGAAUGCCGAACUUAAUUUUUACAGCAGUGUUUAGGCUGUUCCGGACAGUCGGGUGUUGUUGAGGUUGACGGUGGACCCAAAUUGCUGUUUUUGCAUCAGAUUGUGCCGAGGGCACGUGAGUUUGAUUGUUAGACGCUGUUUACUUGACUAUAGCCUGUGAGAGCCUGAUUGAGUUCGAUAGAGAUACGCUUGCAUACUCAAUUGGGUAGCGCCCACGAGUGCCACUCGGGAGUCGGGCUUUGUGCGUUUGCGUUGGUGUCAUUGCGUCCUGGUUGGACUUGCUCUCAACGAAUGUCCUAGUGUGAAGGUAGCUGUGUAGCUUUGACAGACGGGACGGGUGAGUUCACAGUUCCUAGCGAGAUUGGGUCAGGAUUUGCAUUUUCUACAGAUAGUUAGUGUUGGAUAGUGAUAAUAUAGUGGCAUAUAGCUGUAGAUUUGUUCCAGCUUCCUUUUCUAUCAUUGCGCAUACAUCUGUAGACUUAGUGGGUGGGCCGUUGAGCUCGGUAGCAGUAUCCACUGAGGACUACUUCUUUUUGCAGUAGUUCUCACGCCCAGUUGUGGAUCUUUUGCAGAGCCUUCUUCUUCGGCUGCUGCUGUCGCGGAGACAGAUCGUGGAAAGGGAGUCACGAGUUAGAUCCCUUCCCAGUUGCUGCUGAUCUAGAGUAUACCAGCUACAGGUAGUUGUAGUUUUUGGGUUAUUAUACAUACUGAUGUUAUAUCUCGCUGGAGCGAGCGUUUUGGAUACCUGGAUGCUUUGUAUGUAUAGUGAACCUCUGUUGUUAUUUAUACUUUUCUCUUUAGCAGCUCUAUACUACUGGUUGUAGUGUUGUAUGAUUACAGGUACAGUUACAGCUAUCCUUCGUAUACAGGGAAAAUUUCUUUGUAUACGUCGGAUUUGUCGGCAUGCCCGAAGAAACGAGUAAUCCGGGACGUGACAAAAAUAUUCUGGCCAAAAAUCAUUCUGUUUGGCGGAAUAGCAAGAACCCCAAACCAAACGAGAAGGGUUAUCCCUACCCCUUGUGGGAAACCGCACUCCAUUUACAAUAUUUGUCUAGGGAGUCGCGCGUGCUCUGCUAGCUGUGUGAUUCUGACUUAGUCGAGCUUCAUCAUACACUUUCAGCUGAUAAUUAGUUCUGAUAUCAAAACUUAAUCGAGACUCAUCAUACACUUUCGGCUGAUAAUUAAUUCUGAUAUCAACUGUGACGCCCCACUUUUCAAUAAAUCAUUCAUCCUAAAACCACUCUACUCCACUACAUUUAACCCUUUUAAUCUCUUGAGUCUAUCCAUCGUCUAACACGUUAUCGUCUCGUUAAGAGCCUAUUAUAUCUCAUAUAUAAAACUAUUCUAAAUUCUAAUGUGUCGCAUCUUUAAUUCUAAGAGAAGUCGUGAAUUAGAUUAUCCGUGCUUCAUAUUAUUAUCUCCAUUUUGUUUUUGUUUUUUUUAGAAAGAGAUUAUCUCCAUUUUGUCACCUCUUUUGUCACCUCUUUUGUCUUUCAUGUCAUUGUUAAAUGAAAAUUCAAUAGACAUUCCAUCUCAUUCAGAUUCAAUAUCAAUCGCCAAUUCUAAUAAUUACUCACCACUAGCGCUAGUCUUGUUUUCUGAAGGCAGGACUGACUAUCUGUCUUCGGACAAAAAUUUUAUGAACAUAGUCCCCAAAUUAAUUAGUUUGGGAAUUAUACGGAUCGGCUCCACAUGGCUAAUCCAACGGGUGCCUUUCUCAGUUGUUUUUUCUCUCUCUCUCUAAAAAUAUAGGGUUUUUUUUUCUUUCCAUCCGUGGCCGUCGGAUGGGCCACAUAACGCCCAUCCGUAUAGUCCCCAAACUAAUUAGUUUGGGGACUAUGCCCAUAAAAUUUUUGUCCAUCUGUCUCCUGUAUUGCUCACCACACAAUUAUUUUCUCGCUUCCAGCACUACAACAGCCAAAAAGAAAAUAACACUAAUUUGUUUUGCCAUUCAAAAAUUAAAAAAAUUUUAAUAGGUUUGGUACAAGCAGAUGAUUCAAAAUUCUUUUAUAUUUUAGCAACUAUAUAUUUAAAAAUACAUUUUUCUAUCAGAUUUUUUAAGAGGUAUCUUUGCUCUCCACUUUUGAUCACUACAAGAAAAUUUUAAUAUAAGAACGUUUUUUAGACGGCGCUUGAAAAACGCAUCUCCAAACGUCCCUUCAGAAUAACAAAUAUCAACGCUUCAGAAAGUGUCAUCGUAUGAACCAUUUAUUAUAUCAAACUAAUUUAUUAAAUAAUAAAGUUUACUAUUAUUUUUAAUUUUUCGAUGCUUUAAAGCAGCAAAAUUUUAAAAAAUUUAUAUAGCGACUCUUCAUUUAUAAAAAUUUAAAGCAUUAAUAUAUUUUAUCAACGUUUGGUAUAAACAUCGUUAUAUAUAUAGCGACUCUUCAUUUACCGAUACUUUGACCGAUGCUUUCAAAUUUAACGCUAACUUAUAUUGAAACGCUUUUAAGUAUCGUUAAAUAUUAAAAAAAGCGUCCUUAAAUAUAUUUUUUUUUUUUUAGUGGAUUGUAAUAAAAAUUUUACUCUAUCUUCGCCAAGGUUGCCAGCCAAUUGUCUAAUCAUGUAAAUCACUUGUGUCCUUCUUUAGUUUAUUCUCUCUUUCUCAAUUAUCCUUUAGUAGAUUUGAGGUAUAAGCAGAUUAUUCAUAAUUCUAUUAUGUUUUAGCAAUUACAUAUUUAAAAAUACACUUUUCUAUAAGAUUUUAUAGAGGUAUCUUUGCUACUUUUGAUUGUAACGAAAUUUUUUUCUCUUUUCGCUCACGAAUGUCAGUCAAUUGUCAAACCACGUAAAUUAUGUAUCUCCUCCUUUACCCAUCAAACUAAAGUUUCUGCGACUUUUGUUGCAUCAUGAACUUGAAGAGACGGUGGGCGAGUUCUUAGGUACAUAUGUUUGCGGUCAUUUCCUAUUAGCACAAACUUUUGCCUAACAAAGGGGACCUUAAACAAGAUAAAGAUAAGAUAAUACAAUUAAGAUAACCCAAAAAGAAUAAAUAACAAAACCAAUAGAGAUUCUCACAAGUAAUAUUGAUGAUGGUGGUCCCAUUGAUUUGGAUCACAAUGGUGAUGGAUUCUAUGAAUUGCAGUUAAUGGUUUUAGAGGGGUUAAUUAGGCAUGUACCAACCAUUCCUUUGAUGUGUAGUAGAUGCAGAGAACUAGGACAAACCUUUACAUAAAUACAAGGGCCCCACAAAGUUUUUAUUUCUAUGGCUUCAGAGGUUUGAAGGUUGGUGUUGUGCUUCUUUCUAAGGAAGAAGCAUUGGAAGCUUCCCUUAAUUUCACUACGAAUUAUUCUUCAAACAUGCACACAAUAAUAACACAUUUAAAUUGAAGGGAUUGGGUCAUGCUAUAUGUUUAUGAGAUUUGGUUUGGGUUUUUGGGGUGAUCUAGUUAAACAUUUUAAUCCCUAACUUUUCCGCUCGGUAUUGUAAUAACAUCAGUGUCUAGGGGUGACAAUCCAGCUCGGUGUUCGCAAGUCAGUUCGUGUUCGACUCAAAAUGAGCUGAAGAUCGAAUUGCUCGUUUAGUAAACGAGCCGAACACGAGCUGAAUUUUUCAGCUCGUUGGAUAAACGAGCCGAACACGAGCUGGGGUCAACUCCCUCGUGUUCGACUCAAUAACAGCUCGAAUANCUCGAGCCAAUAUAUAUAAAAAAAACGAUUUUUAAUUUAUUUUUUUAUAUAUAAUAUAUAUAAAUUAUAUAUAAAAAGAUUUAUUUAUAUGUAAAGUUUUAAUCAUUAGAUCAAAAUUUAAUUAAUGGGUAAGAUUUUAUAAAUUUAGUUUUUUAUAUAUAUCCAAUUUAAUCCAUUUAACUUAUUGUUCGUUGGCUAGCUCGCGAGCCAGAAUAAACGAGUCGAACACGAGCUGAAUUUUUCAGCUCGAUUCUUUGACGAGCCAGCUCGUGUUCGGCUCGUUUACCGACCCCAGCUCGCUCGUGUUUGGCUCGUUGACACCCCUAUCAGUGUCCCUCUUUGCCAUCUAAAAUACUCGAUAUCUCGUAAAAUCAUGUGUUACAACUCACAAAAAGUAAUUAAAAUGAGCCAUGUGACUUGUGCGAAUUUUGUUAAUUAUCUUAGGCGGGCAAACGGGGCAUUGCAAUGCCACGAAAGUUCACCAAUUAAUCAUGCUUUUUUUUUUUUUUUGCUCUUAGAGAUAUACUAUGAAUAUAUAUUUCUCCAAAAAAAUUCAUGCAUAGGACAAUAUUUUAUUGUGUCCCCCCGAAGAGAUAAUUCAUAGACCUCGCAAUCAAGAAUUUAAUUAAUGGUAAAUUGCUUUGACAAGUAACUUAGCUUAGAAUAUUGUAUAAAUCAAUCUCUUGUAACACUUAAUUUGCAUGUACAAAUAGAACAUAUAUUUGUGACCCGUUCCAAGCUCGAAGGGUUAUGCAUGCAUGCCACAAAUUUAAUUGGGUGGCCAAAAAAGGUCAACAUUUUUUCCAUGGAAAAAUAUUGCAAAAAUAUAUACAUGCAUGGUUCCAAGCAUUUUCUCCAUUGUUUUACCCAUCAAUUAAUAUAUAUGGACACUUGUCCACCACGUUUAACUUCAUUGUGCACAUAAUUAAAUAUGUAUAUUCUUUUUGAAACAUUUUUUGGACUUUCUAAAGAAAAGGAGAAAAAAAGAAAAAAAUCCCUGUCAAUGUGAAGGGAGACAAGGGUUUUAAUUUCAAUGAGGUCAACAACUUGAGCAAUCAAAAGUUAUCAUCAUAAAUUGAUCACUAAUUAGUUGUUUCUCCAAAUUGUCAAAUCUCAAGAAAACUUCCAUGUAACUUCCGAAAUUCAAUAGGAGAAAUACUGGCUAGUUUUAAUUAUUUCCUUGUACCAAGCCCAUUUAUUUUAAGGGAAAGGUACAAAAAUACUGCAAGAAAAAAAAAAAAAGAAGAGAGAAUUAAUUGCUAAUGAAUUCUUUUCCAUGUGCGUCGCAAAAUUUUAGUUUCUCUGGUUUUGAUUGCAGAACGCAGACUAAUUAUAUCGCACCUAGGGGUGGAAACGAGCCGAGCUCGAGCGAGCUUAUGUCAGCUCAAAUUCGACUUGAAAUUAAUUUCGAGCCUAAAUCUAGGCUCAAGCUCGGCUUGAAAUUAAUUCGAGCCAAGCUCGAGCGAGCCUAAUUUCGAGUCGAGCUGAGCUCGAGCUCUUAAAGACGACCGAUGAAAUUCUCGACAUUAUAUAAUCAAUAGUUUAAUUUUAUAGAACAUACACUACAAUUUGAUGCAAUAUUGUCAAUAGUUCAAAACAUACAAAAUAAUUAUAAAAAAUGUGAGCUUAGGGUGACUUCCUGACUCGAUGAGUCGGUCUGAGAGUAGCAGAGAGAGAGAGAAGAAGAGAGAUAGAGGGGAACAAAAGUAAGUGAUUUGAAAAUUUGCACGUUAUCAUGUUUUAGGGUUAUGUGGCAGACAGUGAAGAUCUGAAGAGAGAGUGUGUUAUGUAAAUUCUAGAUUGGGCUCAAUGCGAACUUGUACAUGGGUUAUUUUAAUGGCCAACAAUAAUGGGCCCAAAUUAAAUUAAAGCCUAUAUAUAUUAAAUUAUAUAUAUGUAAAUAAGUUAUAUACUAAAUAAUUACUAUAUAGAGUCGCGGCUACUAUAUGCUUUAUCGAGUAUUGCCUGCCUUUAUACUCAUGGAAUCAUUUUCGAGCCCUUAAAUUAUUGCAUGCUAUCAUUUUCAUUCGUUAGAUCAACUAUUAACCACACUACCCGCGCCUAACCCUAGGGGACCACAUCAUAGUCUACGUGGGGACCACGGUCAUCACUGCUAAGCCACAACAUCCCAUCAAUCAACGGUUAAAAAUUUUAUAGUACAAAGGAUCUACUACUCCAUAAGAGUAAAGUAACGGCCCCUAUUAUAGUAUAUAUAUAUAAAUAUAUAUAUAUAAAUACUAUAUAUAUACUAGCCAUGGCUACUAACAUUAUGAGUAUGAGUCCUUUGACCAUAAGUGUUUUCAAUUGAGAGGGAGCUUCCGAAUCGAUGACAAUACGGUAAUAUGAUCUAAAGUAUUUGAAACCUUCUAGAAAUAAAUUCAUAAAUUUCGACAUCUAAUAAUCCAUCAAGCUGGCAUAAAAUGAAACGGGUUCAAAAUCGUAAGCGAACGUCCUAAAAAAAGGAUGAUCGGAUCUUCAAUCAAGAUCAGAGUAUUGAUCUUUAUCUAUAAGUGAAUAGAGAUUUUCUAUCAAAAGUUCAAUACAAACUUCGCGAUUGCUGUUAUACCGUUAAACUAAAGUAUCCCAUACGCGGACUGUUAAAAAUUGUCAAUUGUGGAUCUCUGAUGCGUAAGGUAAAUGGAUCAUCUGAAAAAUUAUGAAAAUUUAAUUUCUGAAGUUUAAAAUGCUGUAAAUAACUGUUUAACCGUGUGGAGCGUCGAUUCGGAAGCUUUAUGCAUCGAAAACAACUAUGAGUAUUCUAGGGGAUCGUCUCUCGAUAGAUAUUAUCAAGUAGGCCGGACCCAUAUAUAUAUACUGAUUAUAUAUAAAUAUAUAUAUAUAUAUAUAUAUAUAUAUAUUUUCGAGCUUUUCGAGCUUUUCGAGCCUAAUUCGAACGAGCCGAGUAAUACUCAAGCUCGGCUUGAAAUGAAUUUCGAGCCUUUUAUUUUGUUCAAGCUCGGCUCAUUUAAUUUCGAGUCGAGCUCGAGCGAGCUGAAUAUCGAGCCGAACACGAGUCGAACGCGAGCCGGCUCGCUCGUUUGCCAGCCCUAAUCGCACCUCUAUAGCCUCAAAUACAGGCACAUAAUACGUACAACAAUUUUAUAUUUUUGACACGUGGUUUAGACUAACAAAUUGUUAAUUAAUACCAACAGGCUAGUAUUGUUUCUUAAUAAAACAUAAUGCUUACUUCAUUUUAUCAAACAUUAAAUCAACAGCUAAGAAAUUGACUAAGUAAUUAAUCACAAGUCAAGUUUCAAUUAAUGUUCCAACGUUACGUUACAAAACAGAUGAUUAAUUCCAUGCACUCCUUGAUCGAGCACGUGACACGAGUAGGAAGGUGAUGCGAAGAAGUGGGAAGUAGCCCACGUGCGUCGUAUCCGCCACCUUAUAUACUUUGUUUAAUUCUUUUUUGCUUUAUAUAUUUUUGGGUUAAUUUCAUCAAGGCUCUCGAAAAUAUAUCCAGUAAUAAAUAUAUUAUUAUAAAGUUUAAUUUUUUAUUUUUAGUGCUACGAAAGUUUUACUGUUUCCAAGUAUAACUCUGCUGUUAGAAUCCAUUAGAAAAAUAUAAUUAAUUAUGAGUAAAAUACUUAACCCCUCUUAUAUUAUUUGAUCGAAUACUUUUUAGGAAGACAUAUAUUUUUAUAUAAUUCUAUCAGUUGGGCUUUUAGAGCUAUAUAUUUGUAAGGGUCAUUUUACUUAACUGCUGUUAAAAUAGAAACAAUCUCUAGCAGCAACAAACCAAAGGGGCAAAUAUAAAUAUUACUAAACUUUUUGCAGGGAUAAAAAUAAAAAGUUGAACUCUGUAUGAAUAUAUUUGCUAUUCGAUAUGUUUAUAAAGAGCUGUAUACAAUCACUACAACAGAAUUAGAUUAUAGGGACACAUGUUUGGGACACUUUUGAGUAAGUGUCCUAUUUAUGCUAAAGCUUAAAAAAACAUCUACUAAUCCCUAAAUAUAAAGACCAAUCCAACCAAAAAUAAAAGAUUACUCUACUCAACCCACCACACCCAGUCCAUUUGGCCCGAUUACAAACAGAAAAAAAAAGAAAAAUCAAUUACCAUCUUUUCUUCUCUCUUCACUCAAUCCUCUGAAAUUCUAGACGAAGAGCCUUUUCUGUCGUCCUCCUCCGCCACCGCAGCCAACGAGAUAGAGUUUCGGCGGUUGCUAAAUGCUUAAAUAAGUAUUGGUAAAUUAGCAGCACUCUUUUCGAUUAUAGCGACACUCUUUAACUGUCACUAUAUAUCUAGCGACCCCACAUAUAGCAACACUUUUUAAAAGUGUCGGUAAUUUUAGCUAGCAGCACUUUUUUGACAUGUAUCUAUAUUUAAAAGUGUCGCUAUAGACCGUUUUUGUUGUAGUGAAUUAACCCUAUAUUUUAUAUACACAUAUUCUCAGCAAUAUAUUAUUUAUACACCCCAAAGAAAAAUUAUAUAAAUUUUACAUUGUAACCUCUGUGCGACUGAAAUUUAUUUUUUUAUUAUUAUUAUUUUAUUAAAAAUUUUUGAAAAAAAUUUAAAUUUUAAAAUUUUAAGGUGUAAAAUGUACCUACCGAUAAUGACAGUACAUAGAGAAUUUUUCUCUAUCUAAUGUGUUACCUCUUCAUGGAAGGUGCAUGAAUUUGUGGAAGGUGAAAGCGUACGAUCGAGGUGACGAUUUGAAUGAUGUAACGUACGUGCAUGCCAUUUGUCCGCUUGCGUGUAGAAUAUAUACAUACGGCAAAAGCUUUAUGGAGGAGCUGAGAAACACUAGUCAAACGUAUCGACAACAACAGUACUAAUCCUGAACAAUCUUUUGGUUGUGUCAUCGUGCACCAUUGACACCUAAGCAUUAAUCUUUUUUCAUAUAGGAAUCUUAUUAUUAUUUUUUAUUAUUUAUAAUACUGAAGCGAAUCAAAUUGAAUUAGCUGGUUGGUUGGUUGGUUUGGUUUGGUCGAUUUUCCAUAGAAAGUUGGAAUUAAUACUUCAGAAAGCAUAUAUAUAUAUAUAUAUAUAUAGAAAGAGAGAGAGACUGAGAGAGUUGAGCUGGAAUACUAUCGAUAGCAAACAGGUUUCGUUGCUAUACAUUUGCUUUCGAUGAUGAAGUCUCAAAAUCGACAUCAUUGACCUAAUGAUCAAAGAGUUUCAAAAUUUAUAAUUUUCGACAUCAUUGACCUAGCUAAUGAUCAACGGGUUUCUAAAAAUUAAAUUUCAAAUCUUUUCGACAUCAUUAGCCUAACGAUCAAAGGGUUUCAAAAUUUAUAAUUUUAAUGGUCGAUAUAAGACGUUUUCUCAUUUAAUGGUAUAAACAUAUCCAAAUCAAUUAAAUUUUGGUUAGAAAAUUCUUUAAACUAUUUAGAACAAGAUCAAUACUCUCGAUCUUGAUUACAAAAUUUAUAUCAUCACUUUUUAGAGGAUAUUCAUUUUCAGCCGUUUAUUUUUACGCCCACUUGAUGAACAAGAAAACAAUAUCGAAAAAGUAUGAAAUUUGAUUUCUAGAUACUUCAAGUGGUAUAGAUCAUUUUUAACGGUGCCGAUCGUUGAUUUUGAGACUUCAUCAUCGAAAACAAAUGGAUAGCAACGGAGCCCGUUUGCUACCGAUAGUAUUCUAACUCAACUCUAUAUAUAUCUCUCUCUCUCUAUAUAUAUAUAUAUAUAUAUAUAUAUAUAGUAGAGCUACUAUGCUAUCGGAAACAUAGAGGAUCUAGUGCUUCCGAUUUUUUUGCCCUUAGAUCAACCCCUUUGAUCAUUUAUAGCCUUUGAAUUAAUACUAUUAUCCUGUACUACCCAACCCUAGGAGUAUUACUCAACCUUGGGGGGACCGCAAUCAUCCCAACCGUAUAAUUUUUAAUCCAAUGGUCAAAAAGUUAGAAGUAUCAGAUCUUUUAUCCUUCCGAUAGUAUAGUAGCUCUACAGCUUGGUGCUAUUAGUAGUAUUCCAGCCUAAUUCUAUAUAUAUAUACAUACAAAGAAUUUUACUCUCACGUCAUUUUCGGCAAUAAAAAGAGUUUGAAUUCGUGAAACUUUUGAUGUUUCAAAUUUCACAAUUUUAAGAUAUUAUUUGCCUAAUAUUCAAGUAGUACUAUCAAAAAAUACAUUUUUUAACUGCUAAUGUAAGAUAAAUUUGAGACUAUUCGAUCACUAGGUAAAUAAUAUCUUAAAUUCAGAAAAUACGGAAUCUAAAAAGUUCAAAUAGCCUAGAUCAAAUUUGACGGUGUGAAUCAUCAAUUCCUAUGCAUUACUCACAGGCAAAA